Lagopus muta (rock ptarmigan) is the source of this 2683-nucleotide long non-coding RNA. RefSeq lists it as uncharacterized. The record is from RefSeq and is a predicted model, not a curated record. The transcript is spliced from 3 exons. Lineage: Eukaryota; Metazoa; Chordata; Aves; Galliformes; Phasianidae.
UGCUUCCUGCUCCCCUCCCACCCCUAGGAAGGCAGUGAGGGCGAGCCCCUGCCCCGGUGCUGCUGCAGGAGGAUGGGCAGAUCGGGGUUCGCUCGCUUCCGUGUCCCUAUAGCAGCAGCAACAGCGGUUCGGGUAGGAGCUGUAGGGAGCAAGGCUCUUGCUGCACGCGCUCGUCCCGCACGCAGCUUUACUCCGCGGCACUGAGGCGGGCUGUGCGGAGCGGGGCCGAGGGGGCGCGCUGAGCGGAGCGCUCGGGGUCAGCGAGCUGCUGGGGCUGAGGGUUCCGCCACGUUUAAGGAGGGUGAGCAGCCUCGCACCUCGCUAAGUGUAAGGGAUUUUGCUCGUGGGGCUUUGGGUGUUUCCAUUAAAAAGGAGCGCCAGGUGCCGCGUGCAGGAAUCAUUGCGAUAUGGUGGAAAGAACAAAUGGAAGUUAAAAAUUCCCCAAGAAUCAGUAAGCAAAGAGACCAAAUGGGACAAAGGAGAGCCGUGAGGAAAAUUGGAAUGGUCCUUGGAAUGGUCUGCUCACCUGUCUUUCUCACCUUCAGAAAUCCUACUUGAAAAUACAGUUUGGAGAGGGAAAAAGUAAUUUUUGAAGAGGAAGAAGACUUGACACCACCAAGCUCCUUCUCAUUUGUACAUUGCAGGCAGUGACAGCAACAGGACUAUCUUGACUUUUAGGCCAGUUGGGAAUAUAAACAUACGUGGAAAAAGAGAAGCCAAAUGUCUCUCCUGAACAAAUGUACGCAGAAGGCUUAAGAAACAAUUUUUGCACAUGGCUGCUUUAGUUGAGUGGCGCUUUUGCUCUGCACAAUUAGAGCUGAUCAUUGCGAGCAUUAGAAAAAGUUAAUAAGAAUGAAGUCUGUAUAUGCAAGAGGUAAAAGUGAAAACAGUCUUCGCAAGAACUAGGAUAUUUUCUUAAAAGCUUCGGUUGGGAGGAAAAAAACCACCACAAAGUAAACAGUUCUCAAUUCUGCUCAACAAAUGUAUUCUUAAGCAAAAUGUUGACUUACAUUAUGAAGUGCUCCUUGGUUUGGCACAAAGCAAAAGGCUCAACAGUUCUACUUCUCUCAGAGUAGAUUAGUGCUCUCUUGUAUUUUACCUGUUAGCACAUCCUAUGCUUAUUCUUUAAAUUGUGCAAAGACGAUUUAAGGAUAAAAUGUGAGUGAAAGAAAACUGAAGAAUCCUUUCUUUUACUGUAAUACAUUGACUUUAUGAUUGUGCUGUCAAGGUACCAAGCAGAAUGGAAUACAGAUCCCAACAACUCCUGUCCAAGCUCAUUUGAGCUGUGAUGCAGAAGAGUUCUUAAUACCAGCUUUAAGACUCCAGUGAACUAUGUUCUUACAGAAGCAGGCCAGUGCCUCCUGAUUCACUGACCACAGGUACAUGGCAAAAUGAUGGAACAAAACCAAAUGGAGGAAUAAGAUGCAUUGAACUUACAAUCAGCGUCUCUACUGCCUGCAGUUUAUUUGGCUAGGCUGUAUAAGCAGAAGUGAAGGAAAUAUGGAUGAUUCAUUGCAGUCUGUUGGGAACCACUGAACUAAAACGUAUCAUUUAGAAAAAACAUCCGAACUUGAUAUAAAAAGAAUUCUCUUGAUGGCAAAUUCAUCUCAUGCAGUGGUACUGCUCUCCAGUGCUAAUUAUCCUUGCUUUUAAAUUGAACUCCCUGUUUCUGGUCUAAACUUGCCUAGUGUUCUUUCGGACUCUGGGUUUUGCUAAUCGUCUGCCAACUUAAUGUUAAAUGUUAGCUUUCUGUUCCCCAUGUGGCUUAUUAUGGAGGCUGUGAGCAAAACAAAGCCGUCAAGCUAAACAAAAUUAACUACAGUUGAAUUUUGCACAUCUGAAUUGUUCACUUUGAGGGUUUUUUUUUUUCUGUAACUCAUUCUUGCUACAAGAAGAAAUCCUCUUCUUUCAAUGAAUGCAAUACAGAAAUAUCCCUCUUCAAUUUGGAUGCCCAAAAUCAGUAGGGUUUUAUUAAUAGUUGUCUUAUUAUGCCAAGGCAAGAACUGUGGUUUAUAGGUUUAAGUGAGUGUUAUUGUCAUCAUUUGACCAGUGGUAUUGGUUAUUAAUAUUAGAUUAUUAUUAUUACAUUAAAUUUAUCUACCUUAUGUUUUCCCUUGGCUGUAAAGGAUGACAACACCAUAUUAGCUUUGUACUCCUGCGUAGCUUUAAAGAUGUUAUUUGUUGACUGUGCUUUUUCAGAAGAAUGUUGACAAUCUGUAUGGCGCCACACUUGUGAACUGUGAUUGCAAAUCCACGAUAGCUGCCUUUAAAUGAUUUUGAGGACUGGACAGGUGACUUGCACAGAACUUCUGCUCAAAGGCUUUUCUAGCAUGAGAAACAUUUAUAGGAAGGUGUUUAUUGUGUCCUUGGAAAGGACAAAGUACCAGGAUUGCAGGAAAGAGGUGCUGCUUCUGCAGCUGAAUUCUGGGGGACCUCAUGUACCUUUCUGUUGUCUGCAGUGAUUUUGUGAAGUAUGAUAUAUAGUCUCAAAAAUAAUCUCAGAAGUAACAUUUAAAAGCUCUGUAUUUGGUGAAAUGCGACUAAUACAUGAGGGGAGUGUUCCUGGAACACAUUUCUUGUUACCUUUAAGGCUUUGAUGGCCUUACCAUCUUUUUAUUAUGGAGUGAAGAAGCCUCUUAAAUAAUUAAAUAUGAUGUCUAAGCUGGUUGUAGAAGUCUUCAAA